Molecule: ribosomal RNA, 421 nt
Filed under: uncultured Methanomicrobiaceae archaeon
Lineage: Archaea; Methanobacteriati; Methanobacteriota; Methanomicrobia; Methanomicrobiales; Methanomicrobiaceae
Description: partial 16S ribosomal RNA
Source: RNAcentral
GGACUACGGGGGUAUCUAAUCCCGUUCGCUCCCCCAGCUUUCGUCCCUCACUGUCGAAGCCGUUCUGGUAAGAUGCCUUCGCCAUCGGUGGUCCCUCGAGGAUUACAGAAUUUCACUUCUACCCCCGAAGUACCUCUUACCUCUCCCGGUUCCUAGACUCUCAGUAUCUCUUAAACGCCCCACGGUUAAGCCGCGGGAUUUCCCAAGAGACUUAAGAGUCCAGCUACGAACGCUUUAAGCCCAAUAAAAGUGGUCACCACUCGAGCCGCCGGUAUUACCGCGGCGGCUGGCACCGGUCUUGCCCGGCCCUUUCUUCAGAUGCGUUUUAGACACCUGGACAGCCCGCGUAUACGGGCACUCGGGGUUCCCUUAUCACAGUUUCCAGCAUUGUAAAGUUUUCGCGCCUGCUGCACCCCAUAGG